Oncorhynchus nerka (sockeye salmon) is the source of this 288-nucleotide non-coding RNA. NCBI's taxonomy places the organism in Eukaryota, Metazoa, Chordata, Actinopteri, Salmoniformes, Salmonidae. The record is from RefSeq and is a predicted model, not a curated record.
CAUUUGCAACCUUGUGACAAACUCUUGCAAGGACAAUUGCUUGUGGCGAAACGAGGUUGCAUAAAUUAAAAUAAGGAAGCUAAGGCGUGACUUCUCGAGGUUCAGGAGUUUCACGUGCGAUGUUCCUUGGACAGAUUCUCUACGGAGAACCCUGCUUUCCACGGCGGUGACGGAACCACAUGUAUCCUCACCUUUUCUUGAAGCAGGAAGAAAAAGCCAUUUGCGGUAACCAGACAUUGUUUGCAAGGGGAAGAUUUUCCUGUCAUGCGCUGUCGAGUUACCACAUUC